This 296-nucleotide unclassified non-coding RNA is filed under the name uncultured fungus. RNAcentral describes it as "partial contains 5.8S ribosomal RNA, internal transcribed spacer 2, and large subunit ribosomal RNA". The stretch from base 1 to 52 matches the Rfam family "5.8S ribosomal RNA", at positions 103 to 154 of the family's 154-position model. RNAcentral also lists the same sequence under 1 other name. Lineage: Eukaryota; Fungi. The record is from RNAcentral.
AACGCACCUUGCGCUCCUUGGUAUUCCGAGGAGCAUGCCUGUUUGAGUGUCAUUAAAUUCUCAAUCUCUACAUCUUUGUGUUGUUUAGAUUGGAAGUGGGGGCUCUUUGUGUGGAAUCUAAUUCCUCACUCCCCUUAAAUGUAUUAGCUGGAAUGCCUCUGCAUAUCUGACUAUCAGUGUGAUAAUUAUCUAUACUGUAGUUGUUGCAUGAGGGUAUCUGCUUCAUCAAUCGUCGAAAGACAAUUCUAUAUGACCAUCUUGACCUCAAAUCAGGUAGGACUACCCGCUGAACUUAA